AUCGCUUCUCGGCCCUUUGGCUAAGAUGAAGUGUAGUAUCUGUUCGUGUCAGUUUAAUAUUUGUCACUCCUGGAAUGUCCCAGGGCCAGCUCUU
This 94-nucleotide small nuclear RNA is filed under the name Suricata suricatta (meerkat). RNAcentral describes it as "U2 spliceosomal RNA (ENSSSUG00005023349.1)". It matches the Rfam family "U2 spliceosomal RNA". Rfam says of the family: U2 is a small nuclear RNA (snRNA) component of the spliceosome (involved in pre-mRNA splicing). The record is from Rfam by way of RNAcentral. Lineage: Eukaryota; Metazoa; Chordata; Mammalia; Carnivora; Herpestidae.